RNAcentral lists this ribosomal RNA (441 nucleotides) under uncultured bacterium. RNAcentral describes it as "partial 16S ribosomal RNA". It matches the Rfam family "Bacterial small subunit ribosomal RNA", at positions 338 to 795 of the family's 1533-position model. The record is from RNAcentral.
CCUACGGGAGGCAGCAGUGGGGGAUAUUGCACAAUGGGGGGAACCCUGAUGCAGCGACGCCGCGUGGGUGAAGGAGCGUUUCGGCGCGUAAAGCCCUAUCGGCAGGGAAGAAGGAGGACGGUACCUUACUAAGAAGCCCCUGCUAACUACGUGCCAGCAGCCGCGGUAAUACGUAGGGGGCAAGCGUUAUCCGGAGUUACUGGGUGUAACGGGGGCGCAGACGGCAGCGCAAGCCAGGAGUGAAAGCCCGGGGCCCAACCCCGGGACUGCUAUUGGAACUGCGCGGCUGGAGUGCAGGAGGGGCAGGCGGAAUUCCUGGUGUAGCGGUGAAAUGCGUAGAUAUCAGGAGGAACACCGGUGGCGAAGGCGGCCUGCUGGACUGCGACUGACGUUGAGGCCCGAAAGCGUGGGGAGCAAACAGGAUUAGAUACCCGGGUAGUC